RNAcentral lists this RNase P RNA (351 nucleotides) under Chloroflexota bacterium. RNAcentral's name for it is "Chloroflexi bacterium RNase P RNA component class A". It matches the Rfam family "Bacterial RNase P class A". From Rfam's summary of the family: Ribonuclease P (RNase P) is a ubiquitous endoribonuclease, found in archaea, bacteria and eukarya as well as chloroplasts and mitochondria. Its best characterised activity is the generation of mature 5'-ends of tRNAs by cleaving the 5'-leader elements of precursor-tRNAs. Lineage: Bacteria; Bacillati; Chloroflexota. The record is from RNAcentral. RNAcentral also lists the same sequence under 1 other name.
CAGGUUGGCCGGACGGUCGCUCCCCUGUUUCGGCAGGGGGGAGGAAAGUCCGCUCUCCACAGGGCAGGGUGCUGGCUAACGGCCAGGCGGGGUAACCCGACGGAAUAGUGCAGCAGAGAGGUAGAUUGCCCCCAUGUGGGGCGAGGGUGAAACGGCGGUGUAAGAGACCACCGGCGCGGGCAGCGAUGUUCGCGGCCAGGCAAACCCCACCCGGAGCAAGGCCAAGCAGGCGCAUUGGGGCGGCCCGUCCCGCAAAAAGCGCCGGGUAGGCUGCUAGAGCUUCAGGGCAACCUGAAGUCGAGAGAGAUGGCCGUCCACGACAGAAAGCGGCUUAUAUGGCCGGCCUGGAUA